Molecule: ribosomal RNA, 484 nt
Filed under: uncultured bacterium
Lineage: Bacteria
Description: partial 16S ribosomal RNA
Rfam family: Bacterial small subunit ribosomal RNA
Source: RNAcentral
AUUGAACGCUGGCGGCAGGCCUAACACAUGCAAGUCGAGCGGAUGAAGGGAGCUUGCUCCUGGAUUCAGCGGCGGACGGGUGAGUAAUGCCUAGGAAUCUGCCUGGUAGUGGGGGAUAACGUCCGGAAACGGGCGCUAAUACCGCAUACGUCCUGAGGGAGAAAGUGGGGGAUCUUCGGACCUCACGCUAUCAGAUGAGCCUAGGUCGGAUUAGCUAGUUGGUGGGGUAAAGGCCUACCAAGGCGACGAUCCGUAACUGGUCUGAGAGGAUGAUCAGUCACACUGGAACUGAGACACGGUCCAGACCCCUACGGGAGGCAGCAGUGGGGAAUAUUGGACAAGGGGCGAAAUCCUGAUCCAGCCAUGCCGCGUGUUUGAAGAAGGUCUUCGGAUUGUAAAGCACUUUAAGUUGGGAGGAAGGGCAGUAAGUUAAUAACUUGCUGUUUUGACGUUACCAACAGAAUAAGCACCGGCUAACUUCGUG